GCUGUGCCUUUUGCAACAGGACAUGUCUAUCUCCAUUGACCUUUUUAGCCACCAGUGCACUUGCAGCAAAUGUAUGACAGGAAGAAUGGAAAUGGAGCCAUUUUGAAAGGAAAUUAGUCCAGCUUAUGCCCUGGAAGGAACCAGGCAGAGAGAGGAAAAGUAUCUUUGUGAUCAAGCAGAGUGUGACCUGAGGAGAGUCAGACUUGGAUUCAUGUACUGGCAGGACAAGAGAGUGGAGCAGAGAUGACAGAUCUUUAAGGAAAUAUUCCACAGAGCACAAGUGCCUGUGAUCCCCAGGAGCAAGAAAUUGG
Molecule: long non-coding RNA, 311 nt
Organism: Pipra filicauda (Wire-tailed manakin)
Lineage: Eukaryota; Metazoa; Chordata; Aves; Passeriformes; Pipridae
Exons: 3
Source: RefSeq, a predicted model, not a curated record